GACGAGGGAUCCUAGCGUUGUUCGGAAUCAUUGGGCGUAAAGCGGGAGUAGGUGGCUUGCUAAGUCAGGUGUGAAAGCCCAGGGCUCAACCCUGGAAGUGCAUCUGAAACUGGCGAGCUUGAGUGCGAGAGAGGUAAGUAGAAUUCCAGGUGUAGUGGUGAAAUACGUAGAUAUCUGGAGGAAUACCGGAGGCGAAGGCGGCUUACUGGCUCGACACUGACACUCAACCCCGAAAGCGUGGGGAUCAAACAGG
RNAcentral lists this ribosomal RNA (253 nucleotides) under uncultured bacterium. Its description in RNAcentral is "partial 16S ribosomal RNA". It matches the Rfam family "Bacterial small subunit ribosomal RNA", at positions 524 to 776 of the family's 1533-position model. The record is from RNAcentral.